This 926-nucleotide long non-coding RNA is filed under the name Lupinus angustifolius (narrow-leaved blue lupine). RNAcentral describes it as "long non-coding RNA (LANG_LNC003168)". Lineage: Eukaryota; Viridiplantae; Streptophyta; Magnoliopsida; Fabales; Fabaceae. The record is from RNAcentral.
AUUUUUUUCCUCACAUUUUUCUUUUGUCACACUUUCUUUCUCAUAUUUUUCUCUCUAUCCACUUUCUUCUCCUAUAUCAAAGAGAGUAGUAAUGUUUUUCUUCAUUUGGUUUAAAGUGAAAUAAGAAAGGGAGCAUACAAUUUUGUGGGACCCAGGCCCAAAAUCAUUCUCAAUAUGAAUGCAAAAAAAGUAGACAGGAGACCAGAAUUGUUGGGCAAUGACAAAAAUAUCAUGUGUCUUGUUUUCUUACAUAUACUAGUAGCCAAUAAAUUAAUUGAUGUCAUCGAUAAAGGAUUGACAAAUGCAUUACAAUGUGCUAGUUUUAAUAUUUUACAUAGUAAUAUUUAAUUUAAAAUAAAUUUAUUAUGUUGAGAAGAUAUUUCAUCAUUUAGUUGCAUAAGAAUUUAUAAUUAUUUAAUCAGUAAUAAAACACUUCUUUAUAUUCUUGUUAUUGUAUGAUAUUUUUGUUGUUUUUAUAAUCAUUUAGUUGCGGUACGGGGAGCUGCACUACAAGUUUGGAGAGCUAGACUCUUGGUAACAUCGUCAAGGAUACUCAGAAGGUCUAUGCUGUAGGGGAGCAGUUAAAGAGAAUCAGACAUUGAGCAAGGUGGAGUUAUAUAUUCACUAAGGUGGAAAUUCUUGUGUAGAUUUCCUAAUGAGCGAUAUAUUUGUCUAUUUCAAUCAAGGUGGAGAUUGUUGGGGAUGUUUGAAAUAUAUUAUUAUAUGAAGUCCCAUAUUGUCUAGCAUUAGAAUAGAGUAGAAUAUCAAUGUUAUAUAUUGGACACAAGUCCCUUGUUGUAAUGUGCACCAGAUAUAAACACUGAAUAGAAAUACAUCAUGGGCAGGUGGGCCCAUGGGUGUGAUAGAGUUUGUAAUCCUUAUUUUUUUAAUAAUAUCAUGGUAGUCGCUCAGCGCUCCCAGAGACG